RNAcentral lists this ribosomal RNA (138 nucleotides) under uncultured Sedimentibacter sp. Its description in RNAcentral is "partial 16S ribosomal RNA". It matches the Rfam family "Bacterial small subunit ribosomal RNA", at positions 355 to 507 of the family's 1533-position model. Lineage: Bacteria; Bacillati; Bacillota; Tissierellia. The record is from RNAcentral.
UGGGGAAUAUUGCACAAUGGGGGAAACCCUGAUGCAGCGACGCCGCGUGAGUGAAGAAGGUCUUCGGAUCGUAAAACUCUGUCCUUGGUGAAGAAAAAAAUGACGGUAGCCAAGGAGGAAGCCCCGGCUAACUACGUG